UGUCAACCCACUUUGCAGAUAAGCCAAUUGAGGCUUAGAGAAACUUGACAAUUGACUCAAGGUCAUACCUCCAGGAUUUAACACUUGUAGUUUGGCGGCAACAUCAGGCACUCAACCGGAUCAUACCCAUCACCUUUGCUGUGACUCAGCAGGAUAUACAUGUUGAAAUCUGCUUUACAGCUCUGAGACUCGAUUUCAUAGGCAGGAACUUUUUCUCUGAUUCCUCAAAGUGAACCUCUGCUUUUGAACUCCUGCAUCUUUUCAUGUGUCUGCUGAUGUCUCCCGCUUGUUCAUCCUUACUGGCAAAGUUCUGAGCUUCCUUGGAGUUGGGAGCUGCUGAAGAUCAUCAUGGAGGGGCUAGAAGAAGAGGAAAGGGGAAGUCGAGGGUGCUCCAGUUGGGAAGCAUGAGAGCUAAAAUCCUCAGUGUUCAUUUCUACAAGUUUCUCCCUGCCAUUAUCCCUCCCAUAGAGGUUUUCUUCAAUGUCAUUUUAUCUCUCAAGAGAUAGAAAUGGACGUUUUUGAGUGAGUACAGAACAUCUGGAGCCAGCACCUGGGAAGGAUGUACCACUUCAUCUUCUUUGAGGCUCUUUUAUAUCUUUGUAGUAAAAUAUG
This is a long non-coding RNA of Tupaia belangeri chinensis (Chinese tree shrew), 612 nucleotides long. RefSeq lists it as uncharacterized. Lineage: Eukaryota; Metazoa; Chordata; Mammalia; Scandentia; Tupaiidae. The record is from RefSeq and is a predicted model, not a curated record. The transcript is spliced from 3 exons.